CACACUCUCAGAGAGCUCAACUCUGCAUGCACUUUUCUAUUUGCUGCUUUAUGGGAAAGUUGUGUCUCUCCCUCUCUUCAUCCCUCCCCUCUUUUUUCCCUGCCCGUCUGCCUCUGUCAUGUGCUUUGGAUGUGUUCAUGCUUUUGGCACAGAGCGGCCGUCGUGCGGGUUACAGAGAGGCAGCGGCAAUUUUAAAGUCUCACCCUCCUUAAACAAUCAACAAACAGACCAACUUCUCAACAGCCCAGCAAAUUAUAUGUCUGGGAUUUUUUUUUAUUUUUUAUUUUGUUUUAUUUAUUUUUUUCCCCCAAGAGGAACAUUUACCUACACACCAUAUCAUGACACACACGGACCUCGUUGUUCUUUCUGCUUCUGCCGCCUUGGACACUUUCUGGUCCCCUCGCAGUCAUCUGGCACCGUGAGGAACGAUGGUGAAAGGCAGCAACAGCCAGCUGCAAGAAGCUGGGAAAAGAUGUCGUCAUAGGAGCUCCCGGAUUUUGCUUUCUACUGGACCUGUGUAAGGUUGGAUGAAGAAGAGCCUUGAGUGACCAACCCCCAACACUGAAGUCAUGAAGGAUGUGUCGGUAAUCUCCAAGGUGGACGAGUUAUUCGGAUGGACAAGAGAGGAGGCUAAUUUUUUGGCAAGAAGAGGAUUUGAGAUUCCCUGGACUCUCGCUUUGUGCUUUAAAGAACAGCAGCCCAACAUCACCGAGCAGAUCACACAAUGUUUUUGCUUGAAGUCAUAUUUCCAAACGGAAAGUUAUUUUUCAUUAGGUGUAGUAGAGAAAUAUAAAAAAAAAACCAACAGGCCCAAUAGUCUUGAUGUGCAUGUGGCCAAAUUUUGGUAAUUAAAUCAUGAAUUCAAAAUUAACGUGUUAAAAAUGAUAGCAGUGGGGUUCAGUCAAUGAGCUCAUUCAUCAAACGGGCGGCCUUUAUAUAGGGAUAAAAUCAGCAAGUGUUGUGCUCCUGGUUCCAGAGCAUUCCCCUUAGAAAAUCUGAGUCAGGUAGGUUGUUAAAGAAAAUAAUUAGGGAGGAGAAAACGUUGAAGAAAGCAGAAAAUGAUAGGCUGCUCAAGUAAAAUGGAAACCAGACCCAGAACGACCAGGGAG
Fundulus heteroclitus (mummichog) is the source of this 1109-nucleotide long non-coding RNA. RefSeq lists it as uncharacterized. The record is from RefSeq and is a predicted model, not a curated record. The transcript is spliced from 4 exons. NCBI's taxonomy places the organism in Eukaryota, Metazoa, Chordata, Actinopteri, Cyprinodontiformes, Fundulidae.